This 460-nucleotide ribosomal RNA is filed under the name uncultured bacterium. RNAcentral describes it as "partial 16S ribosomal RNA". It matches the Rfam family "Bacterial small subunit ribosomal RNA", at positions 338 to 795 of the family's 1533-position model. The record is from RNAcentral.
CCUACGGGAGGCAGCAGUGAGGAAUAUUGGUCAAUGGACGCAAGUCUGAACCAGCAAUGCCGCGUGCAGGAAGACGGCUCUAUGAGUUGUAAACUGCUUUUGUACGAGGGUAAACGCAGAUACGCGUAUCUGUCUGAAAGUAUCGUACGAAUAAGGAUGGCCUACCUCGGGCCCGGCGGCGGCGGUAAUACGGAGGGUUCAAGCGUUAUCCGGGUUUUUUGGGUUUAAAGGGUCCGUAGGCGGUAGGACAAGUUAGAGGUGAAAUCCCGAGGCUCAACUUCGGAAUUGCCUUUGAUACUGUUCGGCUAGAGAGUAGUUGCGGUAGGCGGAAUGUAGGGUGUAGCGGUGAAAUGCUUAGAGAUCAUACAGAACACCGAUUGCGAAGGCAGCUUACCAAGCUACUUCUGACGUUGAGGCACGAAAGCGUGGGGAGCAAACAGGAUUAGAUACCCUGGUAGUC